GUACUAAAUAUUUUGUCCUGCUUGGUCUUUUAUCCAUCAAUGGAAAUUUCAGCUUUUCGAAGAAAACAUUAUGGACGGCCAAUACGAUCACGAUCGUUGUGCAUAUGUACUAAACUUUAUAAAAAUUAAAAAUAUAGAUAAUAAAGAAUUCUAAAAUUCUCAGAUAUAAGUAUAACAAGCUACGGGUAUAUAACUGGAAGUCGUUGGGUUUGCUUUCUUACGGAGGGACACAAUAACGUCAUAAAAUGGGCGCUUUAUCGGAGAACCAG
This 269-nucleotide long non-coding RNA is filed under the name Mytilus galloprovincialis (Mediterranean mussel). The record is from RNAcentral. Lineage: Eukaryota; Metazoa; Mollusca; Bivalvia; Mytilida; Mytilidae.